RNAcentral lists this ribosomal RNA (447 nucleotides) under uncultured bacterium. RNAcentral's name for it is "bacterial SSU rRNA". It matches the Rfam family "Bacterial small subunit ribosomal RNA", at positions 29 to 524 of the family's 1533-position model. The record is from RNAcentral.
AACGAACGCUGGCGGCAGGCCUAACACAUGCAAGUCGAACGCCCCGCAAGGGGAGUGGCAGACGGGUGAGUAACGCGUGGGAACGUGCCCUUCGGUUCGGAAUAACUCAGGGAAACUUGAGCUAAUACCGGAUACGUCCGUAAGGAGAAAGAUUUAUCGCCGAAGGAUCGGCCCGCGUCGGAUUAGCUAGUUGGUGAGGUAACGGCCCACCAAGGCGACGAUCCGUAGCUGGUCUGAGAGGAUGAUCAGCCACACUGGGACUGAGACACGGCCCAGACUCCUACGGGAGGCAGCAGUGGGGAAUAUUGGACAAUGGGCGAAAGCCUGAUCCAGCCAUGCCGCGUGAGUGAAGAAGGCCUUAGGGUUGUAAAGCUCUUUCAGCGGGAAGAUAAUGACGGUACCCGCAGAAGAAGCCCCGGCUAACUUCGUGCCAGCCGCCGCAGUAAG